UUUUUUUUUUUUUUGUCUUCUAGGGCCACCCCCAUGGCACAUGGAAGUUCCCAGGCGAGGGGUCAAAUUGGAGCUUCAGCUGCCGGCCUACACCACAGCCACAGCAUGCCAGAUCUGAGCCACAUCACCGACCUACACCACAGCUCAGGGCAACACUGGAUCCUCAACCCACUGAGCGAGGCCAGGGAUCGAACCUGUGUCCUCAUGGAUACUAGUAAGAUUUGUUUCCUCUACACCACUAUGGGAACUCCAAUAUGUAUAUUCUUAGUAAAUUUUAAUUUUCAGUUUAAGUUAUCGCUGGAGCGAUUAAUCUUUACACCUGUGAAGUUGGCAUUAUUUUCCCCAUUUUAUAGGGAAACCCAAGCUUAGAAGGUGUACAAAUUUGUCUCCUUAUAUAUGAGCAAACAGACAAGGGCCACCAGACAUUUAGGAAAAGCUUCCAAAUGAGCAAGAAGCAGAAAAUAAACAAGGGAAAAUAAUGGGAAGAAACAAAGACUGUAGGGGGAAACAAUUUAAAUAAUCACUAACCUAAGUGUUCAUCAACAGAUGAAUGGAUAAAGACACCGUGAAAUUACGGGGGGUGUGUGUGUGUAUACUACUACACACACGGAAUACUACUCAGUCAUGAAAAAGAGUGAAAUUUUCCUAUGUGCAGCAACAUGGAUGGACUUGGAAGGCAUUACACUAAGUGAGAUAAGUCAGACAGAGAAAGAUAAACACCAUAUGAUAUCAUUUAUAUGUGGAAUCUACAAAUUACAACAGACUAGUAAAUAUAGCAGAAAAGAAGCAGACUUACAGAUACAGAGAACUAGUGGUUAGCAUAGGGGGGCAUAUUGGGGUGGGGGAGUGGGAAGUACAAACUACUAAGUAUCAGACAGGCUGCAAGGAUGUUUGGUACAGCAUGAACACCGAUCUAACCAAACCGUGUACAACUAUAUUGGGAGUGCUGGAGGUGGGGGUGAAAGAGAAAAAUCCUUAUCUUCCACGUGGGUAACAAAUGCAUCAGACUUAAAACUGAAACAUCAAAACAGCUAUGAUUUGCAUUUUAGUUAGAGACACAGAAGUAAAUACCAAGAGAAUCAACUGAAAGAGGGGAGGGUAGUUACCUCCAGGGAAUUGGAAAACUAGGAGGCAUAAUAGGGACUGCUGAUUUUCAUAACAAACUAUAGAAACGAUUUGACUCAACAGUCUGCAUGCGGAUAACAGAAAAAUACUUAAAAAAAAUUUUAAAUGUGGAGUUCCCGUUGUGGCUCCGUGGUUAGCAAAUCUGACUAGGAACCAUGAGGGAGCUGCUCAGAGGAGUCUUAACUGACCCUUAGAUGAGGUUACAUUCCCAGUUUCAUUUUUUCACCAUACUUGGCUUCUCUUAUGGCACUUACAACAAAUGCAACUCGUGAUUUGGGUAAAUCACUUGAUCUAUCUCUUCCUUUACCUGUGUUUCUGAAUAUAAUAGCCACUAGCUACACGGAGCUGUGUAAAUUUAUUUUAUGGAUUUAUUUAUUGGGGGGAGUAAAGGAGCAAAGGAUAGCUUUAUGGCUUUGCCAGUCAAAGGAGGACACAAGCAGUUAAUGCCUUCAAAAGCUAGGUGCCCCCAGGUAUGUAAAUUUAAAUUAACAUUAAAGAAUAGGAACUAUUUAACCACACUAGCCUCACUUCAAGGGAUCCAUAGCUGUCACUACCACACUGAGAAGGGCACACACAGAACCUUCCAUCUUCACAGACAGUGAGUCCCAUGCGACAGCUCUAGACGGUCAACUCCACAAGGGUCCUUCACAGAGGUAACCCCAGGGCUUAAGGCUGUCUUGCACUUUGUCAGGGCUCCCUAACUGACCUGCAUAAAUUCAUUCAUUCUUUAGGGUAAAACGUAAGGACACUCUGCUGACCGGGAGGAUGUCACUAUUUGGUUUGCCUUGUCUUGAGCCCUUCAAUAACAUCCAGUUCUAUGUCAUCCCCACAGUAGAACCUGCCCCACUGAAAACUUAGGGAACAAAAUAAAUACUUCUGGCUUCGUCUGAGGCAUCAACGUGGAGUUAAGUGACUCAUAAAGGCAAAAGGGUUACAUUUCAUCCAGAAUUAGAUUCUCCAUCUGUCUUAUGAGCCAAUCACUAGAAUUAACCUGUAGGACAUGUAUUUUCAGAGUCAUGUGGCUUCAAACCACCCUAUGGUGUCCCAUGACGGUGGCAAGCUAAGUCAGUCUGGGCAUUGUAGAGUAUAAAUCCCAGUUUAGGUGCUGUAUUCAGCAUUACACACAAAGAAAGAGAUUAAAUAGAUGUACUUUUCUUUUAAGAGGAUUAUGACUAGGCUUUCAAAGAGGCACAAGCACCUCAUGAAUGGUUAAUGUGUUCAUUGGGUUUGAACAGAUUCAACAACCCAGGGACACAUUCAGAUGUAUUUAUUUAACCUCUCCAGAGAUUUUAAAAAUAAAAUUGGGUCUUUCUGGAGAACAGUCAAUCACUAUCUCCCUCCUCCCAACACACUGGCCAUGGGAGGGCUGCCUUCCCAGCAUCCCUGCCCACUCCAAAACACGGGACCUGCCUUUGGGGGCCCCCUCCCACCCACACAGCUUCUCUAUUUCAAGCCCUGAUUCAAGGAGGUCCCUGGCAACAAAGAACGUAUUCCUGAGGCCAGAAAAAAAAGCAGUCUGGGAAAGCAGGGCUCUCUCGUCAAUGAUGAAUAUUUAGUUUCUGCCUCCUUUUUUAUCUUGCUCCUUCCCCGCUUGUUCUCCCACUCUCUGGAACAAAAACAACCACAGGGUAGCCCGGCAGUGUUUCGGGAACAGAGACUGGCAGAAACACGUGCUUCUGUGGUUAAAGCACAAGUGGAUUCUAAGUGGAUGCAAGUGGAUUCUAAGAAUCAAGCAUAAGCUGAGCGGCAGAGGUUUAAAUUCGGGGUCCCUAAAGGAACCUGUGCAAAGAUGACCCCCUGUCCCAAGACAGAUGGGCAUCCUAUACCCACAAGGUAUGUCGUUUCAGGGAAAAGCCAACAAUGGAGGCCCUACUCAGAGGACAGUGACAGCUGAAUUUGUAUAACCUGGAAGAGGGAAGGACCCUGGGAGGAGCACAGGGGGGCACAGUCACAGUCAAAAUGAACCAUGGCUGGCAUUUCCUAAGCACUACUGAGAGCUGAGUCCUAGCCAUUUUAGACCACUCCAUCUGUUCCACAACCCCGGGGGGGGGGGUUGUAUUAUUUUUUAAAAAGGUGGCAUAAAGAAAGUAAGUGCUGUGUGGCCUCGACUGCAAAGUGGGUGUAAUCUGACCUCACAGGGUUAAGAGCAAUAUUCAGUGAGUUUUGUUAAGUGGAUAUGAGAUCAGUUGGGACCUGGGACCCUUUGCUAAAAUGCUCGCAUUCAGAUAAACACCUCCCCAAGCAACAAUAUAAAGAAAGUAUAAGGGACUAAAAAUAACUGCUGUUGGGGAAAAUUAGGAACAACAAGAUACAAAAAGACCAAAAAUCCAAUUGCCACUUCUUCUUUGUGUGUGUGUGUG
Molecule: long non-coding RNA, 3485 nt
Filed under: Sus scrofa (pig)
Lineage: Eukaryota; Metazoa; Chordata; Mammalia; Artiodactyla; Suidae
Description: lncRNA (ENSSSCG00065068357.1)
Source: RNAcentral